GAUGAACGCUGGCGGCGUGCUUAACACAUGCAAGUCGAACGCGCAUCCCUUGAACUUCGGUGAGAGGGAGGGCAAGUGGCGAACGGGUGAGUAACACGUAGGAACCUGCCCUGGAGUGGGGGAAAACGGCUGGAAACGGUCGCUAAUCCCGCAUAGUCUCCUUCGGGAGUAAAGCUUUAGCGCUUCAGGAAGGGCCUGCGGCCUAUCAGGUAGUUGGUGGGGUAAUGGCCUACCAAGCCGAUGACGGGUAGGGGGCGUGAGAGCGCGACCCCCCACACGGAACUGAGACACGGUCCCGACGCCUACGGGCGGCAGCAGU
RNAcentral lists this ribosomal RNA (319 nucleotides) under uncultured bacterium. RNAcentral's name for it is "bacterial SSU rRNA". It matches the Rfam family "Bacterial small subunit ribosomal RNA", at positions 28 to 355 of the family's 1533-position model. The record is from RNAcentral.